Non-coding RNA from Brachypodium distachyon (stiff brome), 124 nucleotides. Lineage: Eukaryota; Viridiplantae; Streptophyta; Magnoliopsida; Poales; Poaceae. The record is from Rfam.
CUAGUACUCCCUCCGUUCCAUGAUUCUUGUCUCAAAUUUGUCCAAAAAUGGAUGUAUCUAUUCCUUAAAGAGUCUAGAUACAUAUAGUAUUUCGACAAGAAUUAUGAAACGGAGGAAGUACUAU